UGUGCUUUGCAGAGGGUGUUUCGGCGCUGGCCUUAGCCUAAGUCCCUUGGAAUAGGGCGUCAUAGAGGGUGAGAAUCCCGUAUGUGGCUUGUGGUCCUCGCCUUGUGAAGCCCCUUCGACGAGUCGAGUUGUUUGGGAAUGCAGCUCUAAAUGGGAGGUAAAUUUCUUCUAAAGCUAAAUACUGGCCAGAAACCGAUAGCGCACAAGUAGAGUGAUCGAAAGAUGAAAAGCACUUUGGAAAGAGAGUCAAAAAGCACGUGAAAUUGUUGAAAGGGAAGCGCUUGCAGCUAGACUUGUCUGCAGUUGCUCAUCUAGGGCUACCCCUGGUGCAAUCUUCUGUAGGCAGGCCAGCAUCAGUCUAGGUGGUUGGACAAAGGCUCUAGGAAUGUAGCUCCCUCUGUGGAGUGUUAUAGCCUAUAGCGUAAUGCAGCCAACUUGGACUGAGGCCUGCGCUCCUGCUAGGAUGCUGGCGUAAUAGCUGCAAGCGGCCCGUCUUGAAACACGGACCAAGGAGUCUAACAUCUAUGCGAGUGUUUGGGUGUCAAGCCCAAGUGCGGAAUGAAAGUGAACGCAGGUGGGAACCAUUUGGUGCACCGUCGACCGAUCCUGAAGUCUUCGGAUGGAUUUGAGUAAGAGCAUAGCUGUUGGGACCCGAAAGAUGGUGAACUAUGCCUGAAUAGGGUGAAGCCAGAGGAAACUCUGGUGGAGGCUCGCAGCGGUUCUGACGUGCAAAUCGAUCGUCAAAUUUGGGCAUAGGGGCGAAAGACUAAUCGAACCA
This 778-nucleotide ribosomal RNA is filed under the name Acrocordiopsis patilii. RNAcentral describes it as "partial large subunit ribosomal RNA". It matches the Rfam family "Eukaryotic large subunit ribosomal RNA", at positions 144 to 942 of the family's 3401-position model. The record is from RNAcentral. Lineage: Eukaryota; Fungi; Ascomycota; Dothideomycetes; Pleosporales.